Molecule: ribosomal RNA, 482 nt
Filed under: uncultured bacterium
Lineage: Bacteria
Description: partial 16S ribosomal RNA
Rfam family: Bacterial small subunit ribosomal RNA
Source: RNAcentral
GACGAACGCUGGCGGCGUGCUUAACACAUGCAAGUCGAACGAUGAACCGGAGCUUGCUCUGGGGAUUAGUGGCGACCGGGUGAGUAACACGGGGGCAACCUGCCCCAGACACCGGGAUAACCAUUCGAAAGGAUGGCCAAUACCGGAUACGACCACUUCGGGCAUCCGAUGGUGGGGGAAAGGACUCUGGUCUGGGAUGGGCUCGCGGCCUAUCAGCUUGUUGGUGGGGUAAUGGCCUACCAAGGCGACGACGGGUAGCCGGCCUGAGAGGGCGACCGGCCACACUGGGACUGAGACACGGCCCAGACUCCUACGGGAGGCAGCAGUGGGGAAUAUUGCGCAAUGGGCGAAAGCCUGACGCAGCGACGCCGCGUGAGGGACGAAGGUCUUCGGAUUGUAAACCUCUUUCAGCAGGGAUGAAGCGAAAGUGACAGUACCUGCAGAAGAAGCACCGGCUAACUACGUGCCAGCCGCCGCAGUAA